RNAcentral lists this ribosomal RNA (498 nucleotides) under uncultured bacterium. Its description in RNAcentral is "partial 16S ribosomal RNA". It matches the Rfam family "Bacterial small subunit ribosomal RNA", at positions 30 to 523 of the family's 1533-position model. The record is from RNAcentral.
AUUGAACGCUGGCGGCAUGCCUUACACAUGCAAGUCGAACGGUAACAGGUCUUCGGAUGCUGACGAGUGGCGAACGGGUGAGUAAUACAUCGGAACGUGCCUAGUAGUGGGGGAUAACUACUCGAAAGAGUGGCUAAUACCGCAUGAGAUCUACGGAUGAAAGCAGGGGAUCGCAAGACCUUGCGCUACUAGAGCGGCCGAUGGCAGAUUAGGGAGUUGGUGGGAUAAAAGCUUACCAAGCCGACGAUCUGUAGCUGGUCUGAGAGGACGAUCAGCCACACUGGGACUGAGACACGGCCCAGACUCCUACGGGAGGCAGCAGUGGGGAAUUUUGGACAAUGGGCGCAAGCCUGAUCCAGCAAUGCCGCGUGCAGGAUGAAGGCCUUCGGGUUGUAAACUGCUUUUGUACGGAACGAAAAGCCCCGGGUUAAUACCCUGGGGUCAUGACGGUACCGUAAGAAUAAGCACCGGCUAACUACGUGCCAGCCGCCGCCGUAA